AGUAACGGCGAGUGAAGCGGCAACAGCUCAAAUUUGAAAUCUGGCUCUUUCAGGGUCCGAGUUGUAAUUUGUAGAAGAUGCUUUGGGUGUGGCUCCGGUCUAAGUUCCUUGGAACAGGACGUCAUAGAGGGUGAGAAUCCCGUACGUGACUGGGUGCCUUCGCUCGGGUAAAGCUCUUUCGACGAGUCGAGUUGUUUGGGA
This 201-nucleotide ribosomal RNA is filed under the name Helotiales sp. Its description in RNAcentral is "partial large subunit ribosomal RNA". It matches the Rfam family "Eukaryotic large subunit ribosomal RNA", at positions 82 to 279 of the family's 3401-position model. Lineage: Eukaryota; Fungi; Ascomycota; Leotiomycetes; Helotiales. The record is from RNAcentral.